UACAGAGGGGGCAAGCGUUAUUCGGAAUUAUUGGGCGUAAAGGGCGCGUAGGCGGUUCUUCAAGUCUCUCGUGAAAUCCCUCGGCUUAACUGAGGACGUGCGGGAGAUACUGAAGGGCUUGAGUCCGGAAGAGGGUGGUGGAAUUCCCAGUGUAGCGGUGAAAUGCGCAGAUAUCAGGAAGAACACCCGUGGCGGAAGGCGGCUCUCUGGGACGGUA
Molecule: ribosomal RNA, 217 nt
Filed under: uncultured bacterium
Lineage: Bacteria
Description: partial 16S ribosomal RNA
Rfam family: Bacterial small subunit ribosomal RNA
Source: RNAcentral